UCGUUUCGAUCGAAGGAAAGAACGAAUUCACCGAUAAAUUUUUCCAUCGACGCGAGCGAAACCGAUGGCCGAGCCGGUAUUUCGAGUAUUUAACGAAGCUCGGAAGCUUUUUCCACGCUCGUUCAGAAAGCGUUUAAAGCGUUCUCGACCCAGCGCCCCGGGAGCGUUAAUGGGUUAAGAACGAGUCUUCUGGACCUCCACGUUUCCAUUCCACGUUUCAUAUUCGACUUUCUCUAAUGGCCUCUCGAAAUGUAUACGCGCGAUUCGAUUCGGUCGAUCCACACGAUCGAUCGCUGCGUACACACAGGUACAGUUACCAGAGCGUGCACGGCCCCGAAUUCAAUCCCAUUCGAUGCGUGUCUUCACGGUUUCAAUGCGCACUUGGACCCGUGCGCGCAUCGGUAUUAUAUCGAUUCGUGGCCUCGUAUGGAUCCUGCUCGAGAUCGUCUGCGGGAUACACGUAUCCGAAUACGGAAACGUAGCCGCAUGCCAAUAAUCCCCGGAUCUGUUAUCAUCGGUGUAAUUGGCAUUCGGCCGGAAAUUUUCAUCAGAUGAAUGGCCAUCGUUUCUUUUGACGCCGCCCGUGACCGACCAACUGUGCGCCAUCGUUGCACACACACACUCCUCCUUUCCCCUUCCCUCUCCCCCACCAUUUUCAAGGUUUCGCCUCUCGCCC
This is a long non-coding RNA of Apis florea (little honeybee), 676 nucleotides long. NCBI's taxonomy places the organism in Eukaryota, Metazoa, Arthropoda, Insecta, Hymenoptera, Apidae. The record is from RefSeq and is a predicted model, not a curated record.